Molecule: ribosomal RNA, 474 nt
Filed under: uncultured organism
Description: bacterial SSU rRNA
Rfam family: Bacterial small subunit ribosomal RNA
Source: RNAcentral
UGGGUAUAGUUUAAUGAUACCCACCUGACGGUACCUUUGGAGGGAAGCACUGGCUAACUACGUGCCAGCGGCCGCGGUAAUACGUAGAGUGCAAGCGUUGUCCGGAAUUAUUGGGCGUAAAGGGUACGCAGGCGGAUAAUCAAGUCAAGCGUGAAAGGUGUCGGCUUAACCGACAGACUGCGUUUGAAACUGGUUAUCUUGAGUGUAACAGAGGAGAGUGGAAUUCCUAGUGUAGUGGUGAAAUACGUAGAUAUUAGGAAGAACACCAGUGGCGAAGGCGACUCUCUGGGUUAACACUGACGCUGAGGUACGAAAGCUGGGGGAGCGAACGGGAUUAGAUACCCCGGUAGUCCCAGCCGUAAACGAUGGAUACUAGGUGUUGGAGGUUCGAAUCCUUCAGUGCCGGAGUUAACGCAUUAAGUAUCCCGCCUGGGGAUUACGAUCGCAAGAUUGAAACUCAAAUGAAUUGACGGA